This 301-nucleotide ribosomal RNA is filed under the name uncultured bacterium. RNAcentral describes it as "partial 16S ribosomal RNA". It matches the Rfam family "Bacterial small subunit ribosomal RNA", at positions 509 to 807 of the family's 1533-position model. The record is from RNAcentral.
CAGUAGCCGCGGUAACACCGAGGGUGCAAGCGUUAAUCGGAAUUACUGGGCGUAAAGCGCGCGUAGGUGGUUUGUUAAGUUGGAUGUGAAAUCCCCGGGCUCAACCUGGGAACUGCAUCCAAAACUGGCAAGCUAGAGUAGGGCAGAGGGUGGUGGAAUUUCCUGUGUAGCGGUGAAAUGCGUAGAUAUAGGAAGGAACACCAGUGGCGAAGGCGACCACCUGGGCUCAUACUGACACUGAGGUGCGAAAGCGUGGGGAGCAAACAGGAUUAGAUACCCCUGUAGUCCCUGUCUCUUAUAC